UACGUAGGGUCCGAGCGUUGUCCGGAAUUAUUGGGCGUAAAGGGCUCGUAGGUGGUUUGUCGCGUCGGGAGUGAAAUCCCUGGGCUUAACCCAGGGUCUGCUUUCGAUACGGGCAGACUAGAGGUAUCAGGGGAGAACGGAAUUCCUGGUGUAGCGGUGAAAUGCGCAGAUAUCAGGAGGAACACCGGUGGCGAAGGCGGUUCUCUGGGACAUUCUCUCGCUGAGGAGCGAAAGUGUGGGGAGCGAACAGG
Molecule: ribosomal RNA, 251 nt
Filed under: uncultured bacterium
Lineage: Bacteria
Description: partial 16S ribosomal RNA
Rfam family: Bacterial small subunit ribosomal RNA
Source: RNAcentral